ACAAAUACCCACGCAUGAAUCAUUCUGAAUUACUAUGAGUUAUCGUAGACUAAGUUCUUCAUUUAUAAUAGGAUCUACGCCGGGUCACGACCUCGUUGCCCGCCAGUAGCCAUCGAUUGGAUACCGCUGCCAACGCGCCCCGCGGAAACUUACGCAACACUACUUGUAUUGAACCGUUCCUACAAUUAUAUAAGUGUCUGCUGCAUUACCGGUUCUGUGGAAAUAUCAAUUCACUCUGAUGAGGAGUGCUGGAGAAAACGAGAGUUCUUUUUACAUGUAGGUAACCUAUAUUAUUGUAACGACGUCAAUACUUAAAAAUUAAAAAUGAGUGUUAUUUUUUAUCUAACAAAUAUUCCAAAGCAAUUCGAAACGAUCAUUUAUACCAUUAGGAAAUAUCUUUGGACUGUGGAUGUGAACAAUGUCCAUUCAUAAAAAAAAAAAUCCAGAUCAUUACUAGUAACUGUUACUAGAGACGUCGUCACUGGCAUGGCCGGCUGUUACAAGAACUGACCGGAUUAGAGGAGUAGAGCCGGAUUCUUCAAUUUGUAGACAAUUAUUGAAUCAUAUAUCUCCAAAAGUCCUCGCCACAACACUAGCAACGAUGUACGAAUUUAGUUAUAUUUAAGACGUUUUAGUACUAUUAUUGUCACACUUAUCGAUACAAAAAUGAUGAUAUUAUAAUAUUAUAAUCGGCCGAAGUCUGUACAUAUGAUAAAAUUAUCAAAUACAAUUUUUUUUUUAAUAUUUU
Melitaea cinxia (Glanville fritillary) is the source of this 748-nucleotide long non-coding RNA. RefSeq lists it as uncharacterized. NCBI's taxonomy places the organism in Eukaryota, Metazoa, Arthropoda, Insecta, Lepidoptera, Nymphalidae. The record is from RefSeq and is a predicted model, not a curated record. The transcript is spliced from 2 exons.